Macadamia integrifolia is the source of this 2071-nucleotide long non-coding RNA. RefSeq lists it as uncharacterized. The transcript is spliced from 2 exons. Lineage: Eukaryota; Viridiplantae; Streptophyta; Magnoliopsida; Proteales; Proteaceae. The record is from RefSeq and is a predicted model, not a curated record.
UGAUGAUUGCUUGCUUGACAUAUAGAAGAACAUGCUCAAACCAUCAACAUCUCAACCUUUUGGAUCUCUCUCUCAAGGUUGCUUCUCUUCCUCUCUCUCUUUCUCUUUCUCGGUUCUGCUUCUUGUGGAGAAAAAUUACCCAAUUCUAAAACCAAAAAAAAAAUCAUUUUAUAUUGUUUGUAAACUUGAGCAGCACCCAUUCACGCAGAGGAUCAGUCCUAUUCGGAUCCAGUUAUUGUUUUUCAAUUAGAACUCUAAGAAUAACUGUCCAUGCUUUGAGAAAACGACGUCCCUUUUAUUUGGCAUUAAAAUAUUCUUCAAACUCCAAUGGGAUCGUAGCAACUCAGCAAACAACUCCUUCUCUACUUCAACUUCUUGACUUUUACCAAAGCUCGGACUGAUCGGAUCCAUGUGCGCAAGGGAGAAAUUGAUUUGAAAACCGAACAUCUGUCCUUGUAUAUAUUCUGUUACGUGUACUAACAACCAUAUAAUGAAUAUUAAAUUAACAAAUACCUUUAACAGAUACCAUGAGACCAUGAGAAGUAAGUAGAAUGAACCAUGAAUUCCAAACAACCACAAACAUAGAAAAACCACAAUUCUAAUAGUAAUAUAAAAUCCCUAAUUUGACAAUAUUUAGUGUUACUAGGCCUACUAAGUUUAUGGAGUGGAGUAACUUCUAUUAAGAGAAAGAGAAGAGAGAAAUGUUCAGACUGAUAUAACAUUCUCAAUGACCAGCAAAGAAUUUUUUUUUUUUUCUGAUAGACCAAGCAACAAAAUUAAAUGGCAACGAGGUAACUUACAAGUGAUAAGCUCUUCUUUUUAAGAAAGGUAACUUCAGAAAUAAGGCAUACGGUUAUAUAGAAGAGCAAGGGAAAUAGCAAAUAUGAAUGAAUCUACCAUUAGUUGAUAAAUCCCACAAGCCUUGUUGUAUUAAUUCAAUAGAAGUAGCAACAGGAGAUAUUUUACCUUUAAAAUUCCCAGUGAAAACAAAAAAUCAAACAGUAAUACUGUCUCAUAGAUCCAAAUUUUAAAUCUGUAUAACCCCACUUUUACUCUUCCAAAUAGGAUAUAUCCUUGACAUAUUUACAAAAUACAUUGCUAUAAAUUAGACAACUCAUUUCUGACCUUCCUUCCCCAAGGUGAUUCUUUGUGUUCAAUAUUCUAGAACCCCACUUUUCCCCUCUUCGUAUUCUUCAUUCCCCUUAUACCUGUAAUUUUUUUAUUGCAUCGAUUCUAUUCAAUUUACAAGGUAUUCUGCAUGAAAAAUCUGUAGAGAAAGCAACCCUUCAUUCUGAAGCUCAAAACUACAGAAAGCACAUGCUCUACCUUGAAUGCACAGAUCGAAAAAAAAUUAUAUUGUUGAUGCACAGGUUCAUCAAUUGUUUUAUCUACCAUAGUUGGGUCUCCAUAGCCAACCCUCACAACCAAGUGCCCAUACAGGGUGGAAAUUAAUAUAGGCUUGAAAGGAAAUCUGAUUAUUGAAACAAUACACACAAAACACAAUAGAAUCAAAAUUCGAACUCCCUGGAAAGCUAUACUCCUUGGAACUAAUGAAGAGAAAAUGAAAGUUGAUGUUCAGAACCUCAGUCUUCAAGAAAGAAAGAAUUUGUUAGAUAGAUUAGUAAGAGUUGUAGAGGAGGACAAUGAGAAGUUCUUAUUCAAGCUCAAUGAUCGAAUGGAGAGGUAAACUCAUCUAUCUCUUCUACUUUCUUCUCUUUUACUCCCUGGAAAGCUAUACUCCUUGGAAAGCUAUACUCCUUGGAACUAAUGAAGAGAAAAUGAAAGUUGAUGUUCAGAACCUCAGUCUUCAAGAAAGAAAGAAUUUGUUAGAUAGAUUAGUAAGAGUUGUAGAGGACAAUGAGAAGUUCUUAUUCAAGCUCAAUGAUCGAAUGGAGAGGCAUACCUGUUUGAGCGAAAAUGAGCAGGGAUGAGAUCUAAGACCCAGACGCGAUCGACGAGCAAAGACGAGCAGAGAAGAGCAGCGGAGUUCUCCUUUGAGAAGAAUGAUGAGAAAAUCUAGUUUGUAAAAAAUCCAAAAUUUUUUAGGGUUCGCUCGAAAGAGAGGAGCAAA